RNAcentral lists this ribosomal RNA (468 nucleotides) under uncultured bacterium. RNAcentral's name for it is "partial 16S ribosomal RNA". It matches the Rfam family "Bacterial small subunit ribosomal RNA", at positions 28 to 507 of the family's 1533-position model. The record is from RNAcentral.
GACGAACGCUGGCGGCGUGCUUAACACAUGCAAGUCGAACGGAAAGGCCCUGCUUUUGUGGGGUGCUCGAGUGGCGAACGGGUGAGUAACACGUGAGUAACCUGCCCUUGACUUUGGGAUAACUUCAGGAAACUGGGGCUAAUACCGGAUAGGAGCUCCUGCUGCAUGGUGGGGGUUGGAACGUUUCGGCGGUUGGGGAUGGACUCGCGGCUUAUCAGCUUGUUGGUGGGGUAGUGGCUUACCAAGGCUUUGACGGGUAGCCGGCCUGAGAGGGUGACCGGCCACAAUGGGACUGAGAGACGGCCCAGACUCCUACGGGAGGCAGCAGUGGGGAAUAUUGCACAAUGGGCGGAAGCCUGAUGCAGCAACGCCGCGGGCGGGAUGACGGCCUUCGGGUUGUAAACCGCUUUCGCCUGUGACGAAGCGUGAGUGACGGUAAUGGGUAAAGAAGCACCGGCUAACUACGUG